GUUUUCUUGUAACAAUACAUGCAAUAAUUUGGACAUUCUACUUUCUCGAAUGGAUUUGUUGUGGUAAUCUGAAUGUAUAAUGUUCCACAGACAUUCGUAUUUGUCAUAUAUAUCGAGGAAUUCUAGAAUAUCUUCCAAAUUCCAUUUCGAAGACAUCUUAAUCUCACACGUGGGACUAGCCGCUGACGGGUUUGUCUCUGUUUACACAGAGGCAGUAGAAGCAGGAAGUAGGUCACGUGACCGGCAAGUGGACAUUAAAGUAGCCAGGAUUUCAACUUUACUUGCCACUAUCCCGGCAAGUGACAUGUUCGCUAGCGGGGUUGUUUACAUUGGGC
This 335-nucleotide long non-coding RNA is filed under the name Androctonus crassicauda. The record is from RNAcentral. Lineage: Eukaryota; Metazoa; Arthropoda; Arachnida; Scorpiones; Buthidae.